This 253-nucleotide ribosomal RNA is filed under the name uncultured bacterium. Its description in RNAcentral is "partial 16S ribosomal RNA". It matches the Rfam family "Bacterial small subunit ribosomal RNA", at positions 524 to 776 of the family's 1533-position model. The record is from RNAcentral.
GACGAACCGCCCGAACGUUGUUCGGAAUCACUGGGCUUAAAGGGCGCGUAGGCGGCUUGACAAGUCACUUGUGAAAUCUCCGGGCUUAACUCGGAACUGCCAAGUGAAACUGUCAUGCUAGAGUGCAGAAGGGGCAAUCGGAAUUCUUGGUGUAGCGGUGAAAUGCGUAGAUAUCAAGAGGAACACCUGAGGUGAAGACGGGUUGCUGGGCUGACACUGACGCUGAGGCGCGAAAGCGUGGGUAGCAAACAGG